AGACAUCAGAAAAUAGUUUAUAGAUAAAAUAUGGGUUUUGGAAAUCCAUGAAGCUGAAAGGUUU
This 64-nucleotide transfer RNA is filed under the name Pollicipes pollicipes. RNAcentral's name for it is "tRNA-Pro". Lineage: Eukaryota; Metazoa; Arthropoda; Thecostraca; Pollicipedomorpha; Pollicipedidae. The record is from RNAcentral.